ACUCCAUCUAUUAUGACUGUGCUUGGCGGUGGCUUAUUUUACAUGAUUGUUAUAGCAAUUGCUAACUGAUACACAUCUGUUGUAAUGCAUUGGAGAAAGAAUUCAAUAAUAUGAGGAUCCUUCCACACUCAAACGUGUUGGCAAAGCUCUCACAGAUGUUGGAUAUAUCUGCUGAGAAAGUUUCAUUCUGGGCCAUAUUGUCAUCUAUCUGCAAGCCAUCACAAUUAAGUUUCUGCUCCUUAAAAUUAAAACAAGAACUUUUGUUUUCAAAGCCCACAAAAAGAAGAGAAGUUUGGACACACAUAGAGACACCAGGGAUGUUCAUGUACAGAGGACAGACCAUGUGAGGACAAAGCGAGAAAGCUGACCAUUUUCAAACCAAGGAGAGAGGACUGGGAAGAAAACAAACCUACUGACACCUUGAUCUUGAACCUCUUCCCGUCCAUUCAAGUGGUUACAGUGAGAGUUGCCAUAUUAUUGUUACACAGUUUUAUUUUCCAUUGUCACCAUUGGUUGGACCAGAGAUGAGACUUUGACCCAUUUGGGCUAUUGAGUUCCUUCGCUGGGAAUAUAGACCAGGAAUCCACUGACUGAAGAAGUUAUCAGACCUCCAGGGGGAAGUAUGCUGCAACACAAUUCAAAUACCUGCUAUACUUAUUCCUCCAGUUCUUCAGUAUUACCUGUGGCCAUGGACUCACACAGUGACA
Mesoplodon densirostris (Blainville's beaked whale) is the source of this 707-nucleotide long non-coding RNA. RefSeq lists it as uncharacterized. The record is from RefSeq and is a predicted model, not a curated record. The transcript has 5 exons. Lineage: Eukaryota; Metazoa; Chordata; Mammalia; Artiodactyla; Ziphiidae.